UGCUUUUUAGUGUAAAAUGCACGUUGAAUUUUGAUUUCUAAAGAAGGAAUUACUUUCCUUAAAAGCAU
RNAcentral lists this transfer RNA (68 nucleotides) under unidentified. RNAcentral's name for it is "Paradorydium reflexana tRNA-Gln". The record is from RNAcentral.